CUGACCGUAAACGAUGCCAACUAGCGAUCCGUCGGCGGCUCUACGGCCCUGAUGGGGAGCUUCCCGGAAACGAAAGUCUUCCGGUUCCGGGGGAAGUAUGGUUGCAAAGCUGAAACUUAAAGGAAUUGACGGAAGGGCACCACCAGGAGUGGAGCCUGCGGCUUAAUUUGACUCAACACGGGAAAACUCACCCGGCCCGGACACCGUGAGGAUUGACAGAUUGAUAGCUUUUUCAUGAUUCGGUGGUUGGUGGUGCAUGGCCGUUCUUAGUUCGUGGAUCGAUUUGUCUGGUUUAUUCCGAUAACGAGCGAGACUCCAGCCUACUAACUAGUACGGGCAUUGCCUCUGUGCCCGGCACUUCUUAGAGGGAUUGGCUGCGUCUAGCGGCACGAAACGGAGCAAUAACAGGUCUGUGAUGCCCUUAGAUGUCCGGGGCUGCACGCGCGCUACACUGGCAAAGGCAGCGUGCUUGUCCGUCUCCGAAAGGAGCCGGUAAACCCUUGAAAAUUUGCCGUGAUUGGGAUCGGAAAUGCAAUUAUUUUCCGUGAACGAGGAAUUCCUAGUAAGUGCGAGUCAUCAGCUCGCGUUG
This 589-nucleotide ribosomal RNA is filed under the name Criconemoides brevistylus. RNAcentral describes it as "SSU rRNA". It matches the Rfam family "Eukaryotic small subunit ribosomal RNA", at positions 1026 to 1643 of the family's 1831-position model. The record is from RNAcentral. Lineage: Eukaryota; Metazoa; Nematoda; Chromadorea; Rhabditida; Criconematidae.